This 255-nucleotide ribosomal RNA is filed under the name uncultured bacterium. Its description in RNAcentral is "partial 16S ribosomal RNA". It matches the Rfam family "Bacterial small subunit ribosomal RNA", at positions 524 to 776 of the family's 1533-position model. The record is from RNAcentral.
UACGAAGGUCCCAAGCGUUUGUUCGGAAUCACUGGGCGUAAAGGGAGCGUAGGCGGCGUGGUAAGUCAGAUGUGAAAUCCCGGGGCUCAACCCCGGAACUGCAUCCGAUACUGCCAUGCUAGAGGAUUGGAGAGGUAGCUGGAAUUCUUGGUGUAGCAGUGAAAUGCGUAGAGAUCAAGAAGGAACACUCGUGGCGAAAGCGAGCUACUGGACAAUUCCUGACGCUGAGGCUCGAAGGCUAGGGUAGCGAAAGGG